Molecule: long non-coding RNA, 1308 nt
Filed under: Marmota monax (woodchuck)
Lineage: Eukaryota; Metazoa; Chordata; Mammalia; Rodentia; Sciuridae
Source: RNAcentral
CUCCAUUUUUAAUUAGCAUCGUGUCAGAAGCAUUUCUCAUAUCAUUGAAUGCUUAAUAAAGUCAUUUUAAAUUGUUCAUAUAUAUAUAUAUAUAUAUAUAUAUAUAUAUAUAUAUAUGAUCAUAUCAUAUAUACUUAACCCUUAUGUUAUUGUUGGACACAAGAUUUAACCUGGAAUUUAGUAAUUCAAAUAAUGUAUUAGUUAAACAUGUAAAAUAUGUGGCAUCUGUCCACAUAUAUUAUUUUCUGAAGAUAGAAAACUAGAAGGAGAAUCAUUGUCUCAAAAAGUACUAUCAUUUUUAAAGCUACCAAUAUAUUUUGCUAAAUUUAUGUGCAAUGAAUGGUCUUCUAAUAUUUUCAAUAAUAGAUUAUGAGAAUAUAUUUAUUAAUUUAUUCUGACCAGCAAGACUUCAAGAGUUGAUUUUAGAGUUUGGUUUAUGUGGUGAUGCCAUCUAGUGGCCACAGAUCAAAAUGACAAAAUCAGAAGUGGAAAAGACGUUUCGGAAAUGUGAUUUAAAGUUAAAGCAAAUAGCCCAGGUCUUAAAAGUUUUCAAAAAUGCCACAGUCUGGCUGGGCACAAAUCACGAGCCACUCAAGCAGCAAUAAACUUUAUUUCUGAACUCCACCAGCACACUCACACACGCUCCCCGGGAACUCUCCCGAACGCCACGGGGCUCUUCCAGGAACCACACACAGGAAAUCCCUCCUCCAGCACUUCCCCAACCAAUGUGAACUCUUCAGGAAUUCCCGCGAGAGCUCAACCAGAACUCAACGGGAACUCCGCGAGAACUCAAAAGUCAUCAUCUUACUGGCUUGCUGGCGUCACCUCUCAACCACUACUUCUGGCAAAAAUGCCAUGCGUCAUCCCGACUCGGCUGUGGCCCUCAACACAAAAAAGCAUCCCUCAUAUUUGAACUUUUUAAAAUUCCUGGAAGCCAUAUGAAAUAAAGUUUACAAACAGUCUCACAUGAUACUCUAAAAUUCAUCUACACCACUGAAUUUCUGGAGCACACAUUCACAUGGUAAAUAAUCAUAUCUAGGGUUGAAGUCAGAGAGGAAGCUUCAGUGUGUGGCCUUAAGGACUUUAAAGUUUAAUGAGGAUACAUGAAAGCAAACUUAUCAUUACAAACUUGACCAAAAGCUUUUGCAAAUGCAAAAUAGUAUUUACUAAUCCUCUUCCCAUAAGUCUUAUCCUGUAAGCCUGUGUGUGUGUGUGUGUGUGUGUGUGUGUUUCUCUCUCUUUGCCACUCCCACAGGAAACAAUCAACCAUGAUGUGAAUAAUCCCAGCAAGAGGUUUAUGUGGCAAAG